Molecule: long non-coding RNA, 1062 nt
Filed under: Heterocephalus glaber (naked mole-rat)
Lineage: Eukaryota; Metazoa; Chordata; Mammalia; Rodentia; Bathyergidae
Description: lncRNA (ENSHGLG00000038766.1)
Source: RNAcentral
CUUCCUUCUCCUUCACAGGUGUUGGCACUGUGCAGGCACAGCACUCUUUCUGCUUCCUCCUGCCCCCUCCCUUUGAUUCUUCUUGGCAGCUUUCCCCACACCAGUUCCUAUGAGGGAGGCUAAUCACAAAUGCAAUGAUGACAGGAGGAUGUAGGGCCUCUGGAAGGGAGUUAGGUCACAAAGGCUGGGCAGCUGUCUUGCCCCUUCCACCACCGGAGGGCCUAGAAGCCAGAAAAAGGGUCCUCGCUAGGACUGAAUCAGCUGCAGCCUUGAUCUCGUACUUCCCAGACGCUAGAACUGUGAGAAAUAAAAAAAUCUUUUUCGUAGUCCUGGGGAGCACAAACAUUUGAGAAAUACAUUCGUGUGAGUCAGGAUACUGUGGCACCUAUGAAGUGUUCCAGAGCCAGAUGACCUGAGUUAAAAUCAAGUUCUGCCACUUACUACCUUGGACCUUAACUCCAAGCCACAGCCGCAUCUCUACCACGUCACGGGAUUUUUGCCCUCAGAUCCAGUCUGAGCCAUGUCCGAAAGCAGAGGAUUCAGUUAAGGCACCAGAGGUUGGUGUGCUCAACCACAGACUGGGCAGGACAGGGCGUGGGCCAUUAUCCUUCCCUCCACUGGCCUUUGCUUCACCUCAGACAAGAUUUGCAGGCUGCAAACCAGUGCUAGCUCCGGUACCACUGGCUUCAGGGACAUUAUGAGAACUUGCUCACUGUGAGAGCAAGACAUCUCAGAACAGUCUCCAUAAUGUCCCCAAGUUGGGGAAGCCAGCAGUCAUGUCACAAGGAUAACACAAGUAACCUGUGACAAGGACCUGAAGCCACUUGCCACAGCCAUGUGAGUGCCCCAUCUUGGAAGCAGGUUCCCUGGGCCUGUUCAAGCUUUCAGAUUACUGCAGCCCUACCUGAUGGCUUCAUUACAAUCUUGUAAGAUGCUCUGAGCAAGAACCACCCAACUAACCUACUCUUAGCUUCCUGCCCUGCAGAGUCUUUGAGGUGUGGAAAGAUGCUGAGGUACAGGAAGAAUUCUGUGAGGCUGGGGCUGGAGUCAAGGUUACCCCCU